AAUCAACGCUGGCGGCGUGCCUCAGACAUGCAAGUCGAACGAUUAAAGCUCUCUUCGGAGAGUGUAUAGAGUGGCGAACGGGUGAGUAACACGUAAGUAAUCUACCCUCGAGUGGGGAAUAACAACCGGAAACGGUUGCUAAUACCGCAUAAUGCAGCGGCACCGCAAGGUGACAGUUGUUAAAGAUUUAUCGCUUGAGGAGGAGCUUGCGGCAGAUUAGCUAGUUGGUAGGGUAACGGCUUACCAAGGCUACGAUCUGUAACCGGUCUAAGAGGACGGUCGGUCACACUGACACUGAAUAACGGGUCAGACUCCUACGGGAGGCAGCAGUCGGGAAUUUUGGGCAAUGGGCGAAAGCCUGACCCAGCAACGCCGCGUGAAGGAUGAAGUAUUUCGGUAUGUAAACUUCGAAAGAAUAGGAAGAAUUAAUGACGGUACUAUUUAUAAGGUCCGGCUAACUACGUGCCAGCAGCCGCGGUAAUGUCUGUACU
RNAcentral lists this ribosomal RNA (491 nucleotides) under uncultured bacterium. Its description in RNAcentral is "bacterial SSU rRNA". It matches the Rfam family "Bacterial small subunit ribosomal RNA", at positions 32 to 535 of the family's 1533-position model. The record is from RNAcentral.